Mauremys mutica (yellowpond turtle) is the source of this 800-nucleotide long non-coding RNA. RefSeq lists it as uncharacterized. NCBI's taxonomy places the organism in Eukaryota, Metazoa, Chordata, Testudines, Geoemydidae. The record is from RefSeq and is a predicted model, not a curated record. The transcript is spliced from 4 exons.
CCCAGCAGAGGUGAAGGCACGAGGCCUGGCCCCAGGGCCGGUGCACUCAGAGGGAGCACAGAGGGGACAGGUGCCCUGUAAUGGUGACACACUCACCUCCCUGUCGGUCUGCCCCAGUUACGAUGCCAGGGGGCCAGCUCUGAACUCAGGCUCUCAGGAGGUGCCGGGGGAAGGCCCAGCCAGGAGACACACGAACACCACGUAACAGUCCGGACUCUGAACUGUACGGCCAGGACUUGCCAUACAGCCUAACCCAGCCACCUCCUGAGUCACUGCCUCGUCCCCUCGGCCGAACCGCCCUCCGCCCACAUCCCGCAGGCAGCCACCCGUCACCACCCUUCCCUCACUCGGCGUGGGCCUCGUUCGCUGGGCCCAGAGGGGCGCCUGGCUCCUGCUAACACACCGCAUGGGACAAGAGCUAUCCAGAGCGACCCCAAGAUCUCUUAGUAACAGCUCACUCAGAACCCAUCACUAUGUAUGCACAAACAUCCUUCCUUCCCCCAGACCACUGCACAGCAAGAGACCAGACAGACAUUUCUUCCUGACCCUGCAAGUACCUGAAACUUGAAGACUGGGAUUCUUUGUACUAGUCACGGUGGUCUGUGGCCCUAUAGAGAUUACUGCCUCAUCCUUUGCUGAGCUUUGCCUUUAAAGCAUCCUGCAGCAAUGUAACCACCGCCACCUACUGGUGAGGAGACUUUCUUUCUCAUUCCUGAUCCCCACCAUGCCGGCCAGUCCUCCAUCAUUUCAAAAAAUGUAUCUACUCGACUCAGAAAUUAGAGCGCUCCACCCCAUCUAAC